CACCGCGGUUAUACGAGGGGCCCACAUUGACAUUUUUCGGCGUAAAGGGUGACUAGAGAAAAAAAACACUAAAGCCACAAAAUCCCCUAGCUGUCAUACGCUAACGGGAACAAGAGGCCCCACAACGAAAGUAGCUUUAACAAAUCUUGAACUCACGACAGUCAGGAUA
This 169-nucleotide ribosomal RNA is filed under the name Moringua microchir (lesser thrush eel). Its description in RNAcentral is "partial 12S rRNA". Lineage: Eukaryota; Metazoa; Chordata; Actinopteri; Anguilliformes; Moringuidae. The record is from RNAcentral.